Eimeria acervulina is the source of this 46-nucleotide non-coding RNA. The record is from Rfam. NCBI's taxonomy places the organism in Eukaryota, Apicomplexa, Conoidasida, Eucoccidiorida, Eimeriidae.
ACUUAGGCUUCUCUAGAAGCCACCAUAUCAUUAUAUGUUUUUCUUU